This 520-nucleotide long non-coding RNA is filed under the name Gossypium barbadense (sea-island cotton). Its description in RNAcentral is "long non-coding RNA (GBAR_LNC006708)". The record is from RNAcentral. Lineage: Eukaryota; Viridiplantae; Streptophyta; Magnoliopsida; Malvales; Malvaceae.
GAUCCGCCUCCUUCAUACUCUGCCUUUCGGCCAUACCCAGAUCCGUAUUCAGAUUCGGGUUCACCAUAGCUGGGUCUCCUCCCAUAUUCGGAUCCAUAUUCACCGUGCUCUGGUUUCCUACUAUACUCAGAUCUGUACUCGGACUCUUGUUCGCCAUAUUCGGGUCUCCGGCCAUACCCAGAUUCAAAUUCAGGAGGCGGAGGCUGCUCAAAUUCGGGUCUCCGUCGAUACCCAGAUCCAAACUCAGGCGGCGGAGGCUGCUCAAAUUCUGAUCUCCGGCCGGAUCCGAAAUCCGGUUGAUGUGAAUGCUCAUAUGCCGGCCUCCGGCCAUGCCCAGAUCCAAACUCCUCAGGAGGCUGCUCGAAUUCAGGUCUUCGGCCAUAAUCAGAUUCAAAUUCGGAUCCGGGUCGUCCGAAAUCCGGCUUGCGUCCAUGACCAGAUUCGAAUUGCUCAUAUUCAGGUUUCCUUCCAUAGUCACCAGAUCCAGCACCAAAAGCAGGUGCAGGUUCGAAUCGUCCAG